AGUGGGGAAUAUUGCGCAAUGGGCGAAAGCCUGACGCAGCAACGCCGCGUGGGUGAUGAAGGUCUUCGGAUCGUAAAACCCUGUCGUCAGGGAAGAAGGUUAUCAGUUUAAUAUGCUGGUAAUUUGACGGUACCUGGAAAGGAAGCCCCGGCUAACUCUGUGCCAGCAGCCGCGGUAAUACAGAGGGGGCAAGCGUUAUUCGGAAUUAUUGGGCGUAAAGAGCGCGUAGGCGGUGUUUUAAGUGAGAUGUGCAAUCCCCGAGCUUAACUUGGGAACUGCAUCUCAUACUGGAACGCUAGAGUACCGGAGAGGGUGGUAGAAUUCCACGUGUAGCGGUGAAAUGCGUAGAGAUGUGGAGGAAUACCAGUGGCGAAGGCGGCCACCUGGACGGUAACUGACGCUGAGGUGCGAAAGUGUGGGUAGCAAACAGGAUUAGAUACCCUGGUAGUCCACGCUGUAAACGAUGAACACUUGGUGUGGCGGGAGUUGACCCCUGCCGUGCCGUAGCUAACG
RNAcentral lists this ribosomal RNA (513 nucleotides) under uncultured bacterium. RNAcentral describes it as "bacterial SSU rRNA". It matches the Rfam family "Bacterial small subunit ribosomal RNA", at positions 353 to 857 of the family's 1533-position model. The record is from RNAcentral.